Molecule: ribosomal RNA, 2321 nt
Filed under: Escherichia coli
Lineage: Bacteria; Pseudomonadati; Pseudomonadota; Gammaproteobacteria; Enterobacterales; Enterobacteriaceae
Description: partial 23S ribosomal RNA
Rfam family: Bacterial large subunit ribosomal RNA
Source: RNAcentral
AAUGGGUCAGCGACUUAUAUUCUGUAGCAAGGUUAACCGAAUAGGGGAGCCGAAGGGAAACCGAGUCUUAACUGGGCGUUAAGUUGCAGGGUAUAGACCCGAAACCCGGUGAUCUAGCCAUGGGCAGGUUGAAGGUUGGGUAACACUAACUGGAGGACCGAACCGACUAAUGUUGAAAAAUUAGCGGAUGACUUGUGGCUGGGGGUGAAAGGCCAAUCAAACCGGGAGAUAGCUGGUUCUCCCCGAAAGCUAUUUAGGUAGCGCCUCGUGAAUUCAUCUCCGGGGGUAGAGCACUGUUUCGGCAAGGGGGUCAUCCCGACUUACCAACCCGAUGCAAACUGCGAAUACCGGAGAAUGUUAUCACGGGAGACACACGGCGGGUGCUAACGUCCGUCGUGAAGAGGGAAACAACCCAGACCGCCAGCUAAGGUCCCAAAGUCAUGGUUAAGUGGGAAACGAUGUGGGAAGGCCCAGACAGCCAGGAUGUUGGCUUAGAAGCAGCCAUCAUUUAAAGAAAGCGUAAUAGCUCACUGGUCGAGUCGGCCUGCGCGGAAGAUGUAACGGGGCUAAACCAUGCACCGAAGCUGCGGCAGCGACACUAUGUGUUGUUGGGUAGGGGAGCGUUCUGUAAGCCUGUGAAGGUGUACUGUGAGGUAUGCUGGAGGUAUCAGAAGUGCGAAUGCUGACAUAAGUAACGAUAAAGCGGGUGAAAAGCCCGCUCGCCGGAAGACCAAGGGUUCCUGUCCAACGUUAAUCGGGGCAGGGUGAGUCGACCCCUAAGGCGAGGCCGAAAGGCGUAGUCGAUGGGAAACAGGUUAAUAUUCCUGUACUUGGUGUUACUGCGAAGGGGGGACGGAGAAGGCUAUGUUGGCCGGGCGACGGUUGUCCCGGUUUAAGCGUGUAGGCUGGUUUUCCAGGCAAAUCCGGAAAAUCAAGGCUGAGGCGUGAUGACGAGGCACUACGGUGCUGAAGCAACAAAUGCCCUGCUUCCAGGAAAAGCCUCUAAGCAUCAGGUAACAUCAAAUCGUACCCCAAACCGACACAGGUGGUCAGGUAGAGAAUACCAAGGCGCUUGAGAGAACUCGGGUGAAGGAACUAGGCAAAAUGGUGCCGUAACUUCGGGAGAAGGCACGCUGAUAUGUAGGUGAAGUCCCUCGCGGAUGGAGCUGAAAUCAGUCGAAGAUACCAGCUGGCUGCAACUGUUUAUUAAAAACACAGCACUGUGCAAACACGAAAGUGGACGUAUACGGUGUGACGCCUGCCCGGUGCCGGAAGGUUAAUUGAUGGGGUCAGCGCAAGCGAAGCUCUUGAUCGAAGCCCCGGUAAACGGCGGCCGUAACUAUAACGGUCCUAAGGUAGCGAAAUUCCUUGUCGGGUAAGUUCCGACCUGCACGAAUGGCGUAAUGAUGGCCAGGCUGUCUCCACCCGAGACUCAGUGAAAUUGAACUCGCUGUGAAGAUGCAGUGUACCCGCGGCAAGACGGAAAGACCCCGUGAACCUUUACUAUAGCUUGACACUGAACAUUGAGCCUUGAUGUGUAGGAUAGGUGGGAGGCUUAGAAGUGUGGACGCCAGUCUGCAUGGAGCCGACCUUGAAAUACCACCCUUUAAUGUUUGAUGUUCUAACGUUGACCCGUGAUCCGGGUUGCGGACAGUGUCUGGUGGGUAGUUUGACUGGGGCGGUCUCCUCCUAAAGAGUAACGGAGGAGCACGAAGGUUGGCUAAUCCUGGUCGGACAUCAGGAGGUUAGUGCAAUGGCAUAAGCCAGCUUGACUGCGAGCGUGACGGCGCGAGCAGGUGCGAAAGCAGGUCAUAGUGAUCCGGUGGUUCUGAAUGGAAGGGCCAUCGCUCAACGGAUAAAAGGUACUCCGGGGAUAACAGGCUGAUACCGCCCAAGAGUUCAUAUCGACGGCGGUGUUUGGCACCUCGAUGUCGGCUCAUCACAUCCUGGGGCUGAAGUAGGUCCCAAGGGUAUGGCUGUUCGCCAUUUAAAGUGGUACGCGAGCUGGGUUUAGAACGUCGUGAGACAGUUCGGUCCCUAUCUGCCGUGGGCGCUGGAGAACUGAGGGGGGCUGCUCCUAGUACGAGAGGACCGGAGUGGACGCAUCACUGGUGUUCGGGUUGUCAUGCCAAUGGCACUGCCCGGUAGCUAAAUGCGGAAGAGAUAAGUGCUGAAAGCAUCUAAGCACGAAACUUGCCCCGAGAUGAGUUCUCCCUGACCCUUUAAGGGUCCUGAAGGAACGUUGAAGACGACGACGUUGAUAGGCCGGGUGUGUAAGCGCAGCGAUGCGUUGAGCUAACCGGUACUAAUGAACCGUGAGG